This 587-nucleotide ribosomal RNA is filed under the name Penicillium janthinellum. Its description in RNAcentral is "partial large subunit ribosomal RNA". It matches the Rfam family "Eukaryotic large subunit ribosomal RNA", at positions 51 to 653 of the family's 3401-position model. The record is from RNAcentral. Lineage: Eukaryota; Fungi; Ascomycota; Eurotiomycetes; Eurotiales; Aspergillaceae.
CGGAGGAAAAGAAACCAACAGGGAUUGCCUCAGUAACGGCGAGUGAAGCGGCAAGAGCUCAAAUUUGAAAGCUGGCCCCUUCGGGGUCCGCAUUGUAAUUUGCAGAGGAUGCUUCGGGAGCGGCCCCCAUCUAAGUGCCCUGGAACGGGCCGUCAUAGAGGGUGAGAAUCCCGUCUGGGAUGGGGUGCCCGCGCCCGUGUGAAGCUCCUUCGACGAGUCGAGUUGUUUGGGAAUGCAGCUCUAAAUGGGUGGUAAAUUUCAUCUAAAGCUAAAUACUGGCCGGAGACCGAUAGCGCACAAGUAGAGUGAUCGAAAGAUGAAAAGCACUUUGAAAAGAGAGUUAAACAGCACGUGAAAUUGUUGAAAGGGAAGCGCUUGCGACCAGACUCGCUCGCGGGGUUCAGCCGGCCUUCGGGCCGGUGUACUUCCCCGCGGGCGGGCCAGCGUCGGUUUGGGCGGCCGGUCAAAGGCCCUCGGAAUGUAACGCCCCCCGGGGCGUCUUAUAGCCGAGGGUGCCAUGCGGCCAGCCCGGACCGAGGAACGCGCUUCGGCUCGGACGCUGGCAUAAUGGUCGUAAGCGACCCGUC